UACGUAGGGGGCAAGCGUUGUCCGGAUUUAUUGGGCGUAAAGAGCGUGUAGGCGGCUUGGUAGGUCCGCUGUGAAAACUCGAGGCUCAACCUCGAGAUGUCGGCGGAAACCACUUGGCUAGAGUCCGGAAGAGGAGAGUGGAAUUCCUGGUGUAGCGGUGAAAUGCGCAGAUAUCAGGAAGAACACCUAUGGCGAAGGCAGCUCUCUGGGACGGUACUGACGCUGAGAUACGAAAGCGUGGGGAGCAAACAGG
RNAcentral lists this ribosomal RNA (253 nucleotides) under uncultured bacterium. Its description in RNAcentral is "partial 16S ribosomal RNA". It matches the Rfam family "Bacterial small subunit ribosomal RNA", at positions 524 to 776 of the family's 1533-position model. The record is from RNAcentral.